This 776-nucleotide ribosomal RNA is filed under the name Rhodotorula kratochvilovae. Its description in RNAcentral is "eukaryotic LSU rRNA". It matches the Rfam family "Eukaryotic large subunit ribosomal RNA", at positions 106 to 899 of the family's 3401-position model. Lineage: Eukaryota; Fungi; Basidiomycota; Microbotryomycetes; Sporidiobolales; Sporidiobolaceae. The record is from RNAcentral.
AGCUCAAAUUUAUAAUCUGGCACCUUCGGUGUCCGAGUUGUAAUCUCUAGAAGUGUUUUCCGCGUUGGACCGCACACAAGUCUGUUGGAAUACAGCGGCACAGUGGUGAUACCCCCGUACACGGUGCGGACGCCCAGCGCUUUGUGAUACACUUUCAAUGAGUCGAGUUGUUUGGGAAUGCAGCUCAAAUUGGGUGGUAAAUUCCAUCUAAAGCUAAAUAUUGGCGAGAGACCGAUAGCGAACAAGUACCGUGAGGGAAAGAUGAAAAGCACUUUGGAAAGAGAGUUAACAGUACGUGAAAUUGUUGGAAGGGAAACGCUUGAAGUCAGACUUGCUUGCCGGAGCUUGCUUCGGUUUGCAGGCCAGCAUCAGUUUUCCGGGGUGGAUAAUGGUGGUUUGAAGGUAGCAGCCUCGGCUGUGUUAUAGCUUUCCACUGGAUACAUCCUGGGGGACUGAGGAACGCAGCGUGCUUUUUGCGAAGGUUUCGACCUUUUCACGCUUAGGAUGCUGGUGUAAUGACUUUAAACGACCCGUCUUGAAACACGGACCAAGGAGUCUAACAUGCUCGCGAGUAUUUGGGUGUCAAACCCGGAUGCGCAAUGAAAGUGAAUGUAGGUGGGAACCGCAAGGUGCACCAUCGACCGAUCUGGAUCUUUUGAGAUGGAUUUGAGUAAGAGCGCGUAUGUUGGGACCCGAAAGAUGGUGAACUAUGCCUGAAUAGGGCGAAGCCAGAGGAAACUCUGGUGGAGGCUCGUAGCGGCUCUGACGUGCAAAUC